AACAAGAGUAUAUGGUGGAUGCCUCGACAUAAAAAGACGAUGAAGGACGUAGCAGCCUGCGAUAAGCCUCGGUUAGGUGGCAAGCAACCUUUGAACCGUGGAUUUCCGAAUGGGGUAACCUAUCCCGUUGAAGACGGGAUGUCCGCUGUCUGAACACAUAGGACAGUGAGACGAGUACCCGGCGAAUUGAAACAUCUUAGUAGCCGGAGGAAAAGAAAACAAUUAUGAUUUCUAAUCAACUUUGAAUAAUUUUUAUUCAAUCUUGAUUAGUAAUCUCUAUUCCCUGAGUAGUGGCGAACGAAAGGGGAGGAGCCCAAACCCUUUAAACUGCGUUUUCUAGUUUACUAGAGAACAGAAGGUUUUAGGACCAUAUGUUUAUUGGGGGUUGCAAGAUCGUUGCGUUCACUUCCUAAAUAAAGUGAGGUAGAGAAAAAUAUAUAACUUACCUAGUUGAAGCGAGCUGGAAAGCUCCGCCAGAGAAGGUGAUAGCCCUGUAAUGCAAAAGGUGUUAUAAAUCUACGGCAGCAUAUCUUAAGUACCGCGGGACACGAGAAAUCCCGUGGGAAAUCGGGUCGACUAUGACCCAAGGCUAAAUACUUUUUAUGAUCAAUAGUGAACUAGUACCGUGAGGGAAAGGUGAAAAGCAUCCCGGUUAGGGAGGUGAAAUAGUACCUGAAACCAUAUACUUACAAAGAGUCGGAGCUUCGUGUCUCACUUUCGUUCGACACGAAUUUUCAAUUUUCAAUUUUCAAUUUUCAAUAAAUUUUCAAUGAUUCAAUUUUCAAUGUUUAGGUUUACCAAAAAUAAACUUAGUAAUUUGAAAAUUGAAAAUUGUUAUUUGUUUGAAAAUUGAAAAUUGAAAAUUGAAAAUUCCUCGUGACGAGCGGUAGCGAGAUACGAGGUGACGGCGUGCCUAUUGAAGAAUGAGCCAACGAGUUUAUGUGUGUGGCUUAGCUAAUUUCCAUUUGGAAUGUAGCUGCAGUGAAAGCGAGGGUUAAUAGCCCGUCUCUUACUUAUUAGAAAGUAGAUCCUUUAAUCUUCUUUCUAAUAUUUAAGAAUGUCGCAUAUAUAAGACCCGAAGCCGUGUGAUCUAACCAUGACCAGGUUGAACGGAGUAGAAAUACUUCGGGAGGACCGAACCCACUAGUCGUGCAACACUAGGGGAUGAGUUGUGGUUAGCGGAGAAAUUCCAAUCGAACUCGGCAAUAGCUGGUUCUCCUCGAAAUAGCUUUAGGGCUAGCCUCGGAUGCUGACUGUUGGGGGUAGAGCACUGAAUGGGAACGGGCCGCAAGGUACCUUUCUCAACCAAACUCCGAAUACCAACAGGUGUAAUCCGGGAGUUAGACUAUGGGGGCUAAGCUCCAUUAGUCGAAAGGGAAACAGCCCAGACCGCAAUUUAAGGUCCCUAAAUAUAUACUAAGUGUUAAAAGUUGUGUCGUGACUACGACAACUAGGAGGUUGGCUUAGAAGCAGCCAUCCUUUAAAGAUAGCGUAAUAGCUCACUAGUCUAGUUGUUUCGCGCUGAAAAUUUAUCGGGGCUAAGUAUAUUACCGAAAAUGCGGAUUCAUCACGUUAAGUGAUGAGUGGUAGAGGAGCAUUCUUAAUUCACUGAAGCUGAAUCGUGAGAUUUAGUGGAGAAUUAAGAAGAGAGAAUGUUGGCAUGAGUAGCAAAAAGGCAGGUGAGAACCCUGCCCACCGUAAACCUAAGGUUUCCUGGGCAACGUAAAUCGGCCCAGGGUUAGUCGGUCCUAAGACGAGGCUCGUGUAGUGCGAGCGUAGCCGAUGGAUGAGCUGGUCAAUAUUCCAGCACUACUGCAGUUUUCCGAUGGGGGGACGCAGUUUCAAGUUUUGAGCGUUCUAUGGUUUGAACGUUGAUGGCCAAUCUGUGUGAUCCAGGCAAAUCCGGAUCACAUAAGCAGAGAAGUUGUCUGAAGAUGAAGCUUCGGUGGAAUCAAUUCAGAAGGAGAAAUUGCCUAGAAAAACCUCUAGGGCUAAGACUGUAGUAACCGUACCGUAAACCGACACAGGUAGGUGAGGCGAGUAGCCUCAGGUGCACGAGAGAACCUUCGUUAAGGAACUCGGCAAAACAGCGACCGUAACUUCGGGAUAAGGUCUCCCUCAAGCAAUUGAGGGCGCAGCUAAAGAUGCCUGGUGACUGUUUAUCAAAAACACAGCUCCCUGCUAACUCGUAAGAGGAUGUAUAGGGGGUGAUGCCUGGCCAGUGUCCGAACGUUAAAGGGAUGGGUGAAUCCCGCAUUUUGCGGGAGGCAGCCUUGAUCUGAAGCGCGGAUGAACGCCGGCGAUAACUAUAAUCGUCCUAAGGUACCGAAAUUCCUUGUCGGGUAAGUUCCGACCUGCAGGAAUGGCAUAACAACUGGGCAACUGUCUCAACGAAGGACUCGGCGAAAUUGCAAUAUGAGUAAAGAUGCUCGUUAACCAUAGUUGGACGAAAAGACCCCGUGAAGCUUUACUAUAGCUUAAUAUUGGAUUAGGGUUAUGCAUGUUCAGUAUAGGUGGGAGCCCCGCAUUUUGCGGGGCAUCAGUGAGAUACCACCCUUGUAUAUUUUUAAUUCUAACUUGCAGCCAUGAAACUGGCGCGAGGACAGUAUUUGGUGGGUAGUUUGUCUGGGGCGGAUGCCUCCUAAAAAGUAACGGAGGCGUUUACAAAGGUUGGCUAUCCCGGAAUGGAAACCCGGGAGAUAGUGUAAAGGCAAAAGCCAGCUUUACUGCGAGACCUACAAGUCAAGCAGUUGCGAAAGCAGAACUUAGUGAUCCGACCGUUCGAUAUAGGACGGCGGAAGCUCAUCGGAUAAAAGCUACUCCGGGGAUAACAGGCUAGUCUGGUCCAAGAGUUCACAUCGACGACCAGGUUCGGCACCUCGAUGUCGGCUCGUCGCAUCCUGGGGGUGAAGAAGCUCCCAAGGGUUGGGCUGUUCGCCCAUUAAAGCGGCACGCGAGCUGGGUUCAGACCGUCGUAAGACAGGUCGGUCUCCUAUCCACUAUGGUCAUGGAAACUUGAGAAGGCCGUUCCCUAGUACGAGAGGACCGGGAAUGACGAAGCUCUAGUGUACCAGCUGUCCCACCAGGGGCAUCGCUGGGUAGCUACCUUCGGUUUGGAUAAGCGCUGAAAGCAUAUAAGCGCGAAGCCGUCUUCAAGAUUAGGUUUCAUAGAAUCGUGAGAGACUAUCACGUUAAUAGGCUCUAGGUGUAAGCGCAGUAAUGCGUUCAGCCAAGGAGUACUAAUAUUUCAUUUAAUUU
This 3258-nucleotide ribosomal RNA is filed under the name marine eukaryotic metagenome. RNAcentral's name for it is "Bacterial large subunit ribosomal RNA". It matches the Rfam family "Bacterial large subunit ribosomal RNA". The record is from RNAcentral.